Long non-coding RNA from Engraulis encrasicolus (European anchovy), 788 nucleotides. RefSeq lists it as uncharacterized. The record is from RefSeq and is a predicted model, not a curated record. NCBI's taxonomy places the organism in Eukaryota, Metazoa, Chordata, Actinopteri, Clupeiformes, Engraulidae. The transcript has 3 exons.
ACACGGCUGUCUGGGCUUCGCUAACUAAAUUGUAAACACAUGUCUACAGAAGGAUAAGAAGGCUUGCUGUCAUCAAAUUAGGUGUGAAAUGGAAAGUUUGGAAUGAAAAACCAGCACAACAUAGCAGCAGAAUCUAACGUUGGGGACAGGCUAAGAAGAAAGAGAGAAGUCCUGCCUUUCGAGAAAGCUUCAGUCGGUUGGGUGAACUGCGGUCAAUUGUGAAAGAAGGCAUUCCAAUCCUGGCAUUGACAGCUUCAGCGGACACCCAAUCUAGAGAGAGGGUCAUCAGUAUGCUAAACAUGCAGGGAGCAAGGAGAAUACACGUAUCCCCAAACAGAGAGAACAUUAGACUAGGUAUUGUAAGACUGCCAAACGAUAAGCUGAAAUGCCUUGACUGGGUAGUUAAACUGGUAAAAGAUGGUGGUGUUGCUGCACCACAGAUAAUCAUUUACUGUCGGUCAGUAAAAACAACAGGCAAAGUGCAUCGUUACCUGCAUACAGAGCUGGGACCAGAUGCCUGGGUGGAUAGGGACCCCGAAGAAAGAACAAAAAACUGUUUCAUUGGAAUGUACCACAGUUCCACCCUGCCUAAAUACAAGAAAUAUGUUGUUUCAUCACUGAAUGGUAAUGGCAACUGUAGAAUUGUACUAGCAACUAAUGCUCUCAGUAUGGGGAUGAACUUCCCAAAUGUCUCUUAUGUCAUUAUGUACGGCCCACCGGAGGACGCAGAAGAUGUACUCCAGCAAAUUGGUAGAGCUGGGCGUAGUGGGUCACAUGUUAAUGCUGUU